GAUGAACGCUGGCGGCGUGCCUAAUACAUGCAAGUCGAGCGAACAGACGAGGAGCUUGCUCCUCUGACGUUAGCGGCGGACGGGUGAGUAACACGUGGAUAACCUACCUAUAAGACUGGGAUAACUUCGGGAAACCGGAGCUAAUACCGGAUAAUAUAUUGAACCGCAUGGUUCAAUAGUGAAAGACGGUUUUGCUGUCACUUAUAGAUGGAUCCGCGCCGCAUUAGCUAGUUGGUAAGGUAACGGCUUACCAAGGCGACGAUGCGUAGCCGACCUGAGAGCGAGGAGAGGCAGAUGGGAAGAGAGGAACGUGAGAGACACCGGCAGGGAGCAGCAGCGCAGAAUCUGACGGGAUGGGGUAAAGAUGAAUAGAGGAACGUAGGGGGAAUGAUGAAGGUCUUAGGAUGCUAGAGCUCUGUUGGUAGGAAAGAAGAAAAGAGCAAGUAACUAGGCAGAUCAUGACGGUACCGAAGGAGAAAGCCACGGCUAACUUAGUG
This 497-nucleotide ribosomal RNA is filed under the name uncultured bacterium. RNAcentral's name for it is "partial 16S ribosomal RNA". It matches the Rfam family "Bacterial small subunit ribosomal RNA", at positions 28 to 507 of the family's 1533-position model. The record is from RNAcentral.